AGAAUAUAAAAAACCGUCUCUUAACUUUUAACUAAAAGAACUAAGAACCGGUUCUUAACUUUUUUAGUUAAAAGUUAAGAGACGGUUUCUUAUAUUCC
This 98-nucleotide microRNA precursor is filed under the name Brassica napus (rape). RNAcentral's name for it is "MIR9563 microRNA precursor family". It matches the Rfam family "MIR9563 microRNA precursor family". Lineage: Eukaryota; Viridiplantae; Streptophyta; Magnoliopsida; Brassicales; Brassicaceae. The record is from Rfam by way of RNAcentral.